This 206-nucleotide ribosomal RNA is filed under the name uncultured bacterium. RNAcentral's name for it is "partial 16S ribosomal RNA". It matches the Rfam family "Bacterial small subunit ribosomal RNA", at positions 568 to 774 of the family's 1533-position model. The record is from RNAcentral.
CGUGUAGGCGGUCCGGUAAGUCCGCUGUGAAAGUCGGGGGCUCAACCCUCGGAUGCCGGUGGAUACUGUCGGGCUUGAGUACGGAAGAGGCGAGUGGAAUUCCUGGUGUAGCGGUGAAAUGCGCAGAUAUCAGGAGGAACACCAAUUGCGAAGGCAGCUCGCUGGGACGUUACUGACGCUGAGACGCGAAAGCGUGGGAGCAAACA